CCUCGUCACCAGGGGUGCCUUCGGGCUGAGAGGACGGCGUCAGCGCGGUCCAACCCACCGAACCUGAUCCAGAUCAUACUGGCGUAGGGAGUGUGACGCGCGGACGCC
This 108-nucleotide non-coding RNA is filed under the name Truepera radiovictrix. RNAcentral's name for it is "TPP sequence". It matches the Rfam family "TPP riboswitch aptamer (THI element)". Rfam says of the family: Vitamin B(1) in its active form thiamin pyrophosphate (TPP) is an essential coenzyme that is synthesised by coupling of pyrimidine and thiazole moieties in bacteria. The record is from RNAcentral. Lineage: Bacteria; Thermotogati; Deinococcota; Deinococci; Trueperales; Trueperaceae. RNAcentral also lists the same sequence under 1 other name.